Molecule: ribosomal RNA, 494 nt
Filed under: uncultured bacterium
Lineage: Bacteria
Description: partial 16S ribosomal RNA
Rfam family: Bacterial small subunit ribosomal RNA
Source: RNAcentral
GACGAACGCUGGCGGCGUGCUUAACACAUGCAAGUCGAACGGAAAGGCCUGCUUUCCCUUGUGGAUUGCGGGUACUCGAGUGGCGAACGGGUGAGUAACACGUGAGUGAUCUGCCCCCAACUUGGGUAUAAGCCUGGGAAACUGGGUCUAAUUCCCGAUAGGACUGCAGGGUGGUGCCUGUGGUGGAAAACGAUUUUCUAGUGGUUGGGGAUGAGCUCGCGGCCUAUCAGCUUGUUGGUGGGGUAAUGGCCUACCAAGGCGGCGACGGGUAGCCGGCCUGAGAGGGUGGACGGCCACAUUGGGACUGAGAUACGGCCCAGAGUCCGACGGGAGGCAGCAGUGGGGAAUAUAGCACGAUGGGCGGAAGCCUGAUGCAGCGACGCCGCGUGGGGGAUGACGGCCUUCGGGUUGUAAACUCCUUUCGACCGCGAGGAAGCCACCUGGUUGGAAGGGUGGUGACGGUAGUGGUAGAAGAAGCACCGGCUAACUACGUG